RNAcentral lists this long non-coding RNA (207 nucleotides) under Ricinus communis (castor bean). RNAcentral describes it as "long non-coding RNA (RCOM_LNC001281)". The record is from RNAcentral. Lineage: Eukaryota; Viridiplantae; Streptophyta; Magnoliopsida; Malpighiales; Euphorbiaceae.
UAAAUUUUAUUAUUUAAUAGAUUAUUCUUGCAUCACUACACUUUCACACAUUGUACAUUUUGGUCCCUAUAGCUCUGAUGGUGUCAGUUAGUGGUUCUUUGGUUCCACUCAAAUCUUAGAAUUACGACACUGGCUACCAUCACUCAUAAGUAAUGAGUGAAUUUCCUUCGUUGCAUGGAUCCUUGAGUGGAGAGACGAGCCAAGGAA